This 359-nucleotide ribosomal RNA is filed under the name Diplatys flavicollis. RNAcentral's name for it is "partial 16S ribosomal RNA". Lineage: Eukaryota; Metazoa; Arthropoda; Insecta; Dermaptera; Diplatyidae. The record is from RNAcentral.
GGUACCUUGUUCUUUAAAUCAAUCUUUUUGGUUCAUUAUUUUUUUUUCAAUUAUGAUUGGUAAUAAAUAGAGAUGUUUUUUAAUCCCUUGUCACCCCAACAAAACAUAUUUUAUAAGAUAGUAUAGAUAUAUGUAAAGGUCUAUAGGGUCUUGUCGUCUUUUUAGUGUAUUAAAGCCUUUUGACUUUAAGGUUAAUUUCGAUUUAAAUAAUUAUGAGACAGCUUAAGCUUCGUGGUAUCUUUCAUACCAGCCAAUAAUUAAAUGGCUAUUUAUUAUGCUACCUUUGCACGGUUAGGAUACCGCGGCCAUUUAAAAAUUUCAUUGGGCAGAUUGUAUCUUUUACAUAUUUUCAAUAGACG